Non-coding RNA from Xenopus laevis (African clawed frog), 659 nucleotides. Lineage: Eukaryota; Metazoa; Chordata; Amphibia; Anura; Pipidae. The record is from the annotation of a RefSeq genome assembly.
UGAGAGGGAUGUUGGUUGGUGUUUUGCAUAGAGACAUUGUGUGGCUAAACUGCAGCUGCUAUAAAAGUGCCAGUGUCCCUGUGCCAUAUUAAUGAUCUGUAUGUGUCACAGUGCAUAGAUAGAGACAUGUCUUAUCCCACUGAUCUACUGCUGCUGCUGCUACUGGGGAUCCUCCUGAUCUUUAGCCAAGGUGCCUAUGGGCAGAUUCUGGUGACUCAGUCUCCAGAUUAUGUUUCUGUGUCACCAGGAGAAACUGUCACUAUCACAUGUAAAACCAGUAGCAGUGUUGUUGAUAGUGAUGGAGACAGUUUAGUAUACUGGUUCCAGCAAAAAUCAGGGAAAGCACCAAAGAGAUUAAUAUACUGGGCAACCAGGCGAGAAACAGGGACCCCAGAGCGGAUCAGCGGCAGUGGGUCUGGAACUGAUUUCACUCUUACAAUCAGCAGAAUGGAAGCAGAAGAUGCAGCAGAUUAUUACUGUAUGCAGAGAAGGGAGUUACCUCUCACACAGUGAUACAGAGCUGAACAAAAACCUCCUUCCUAUAAUUAGCAGCUGCAGUUGUGCUGAAUGUAGAUGCCACUGAGAGGGGAAUGUCAUACAGUGACUGCUGUUAUAUAUACUAGGCUUCCCCAGGUAUGGGACCUGUUAUCAGAAUGCCU